UUAGUGGUUUACUAGUUACGGAACUCCGCGCGUUGCGGCGAAAAGUCGAUACAAUAGUUAAUUAUUAGAAUAAUUAAUAUAAUUUUUAAUAUUAUUCAUUAAUAUUUUUGAAUAAUAUUUAUUUUCGUAGCGAGUAUAUUUAAGAAAAAAAGGUAAACGGAAUCCUGCGUGUUGUGACGAGAAGUUGAUAUAAUUGUCAAUUAUUAAAACUAUUAAUAUUAUUUUUAAUAUUAUCCAUUAAUAUUUUGGAAUAAUAUGUAUUUUCGUAGUGAGUAUAUUUAGAGAAAGAAGGUAGAACAGAAAGAGAAAGCUUUUUCGCUGUAGCUAGAGCAGUAAUGGUAUUUGUGACAGAGGCAGUCCAUUAAGCGAAGGAGCAAGCACACUCUAGCAUAAACGAUAUCAUGUAUGCUACCAUAGUCGCCAAAUUUGACCUAUAUUCUCAGGAAAAAGGACCAUUAAGGUAUUAGAAAAAUAACGCAACAAAUAUAACUAUAUUAAUUAUUUUAUAACAAAUUAAUACUAUAUAUAUACUUACAUAUUAGGUCAUUAAUUAGGUAUGGGAAAAAAAUGAUGUUAAUAGUUCGAGCUGAAACGGUAAAAGCGUAAACAAACGGUGGGUUUGCAUUUAUGGUUUAAAAGGUGGUGCGCAAAAGAAACAGUAAUUUAUUAUAGUUUUUAAUUUAAUUUUUUUCAAUUAUGAAAUUUUGUAAACUAAGAUGGAUUAAUUUUAAGUAAUUUAUUGCGAUGACAUCAAGAGAUAUGAAAAUUUGAAAAGGAAACUAAAUAGAUGAUAAGAUAAUAAGAUAAUUAACACACACACACACACACACACACACACACACACACACACACACACACACACACACAC
RNAcentral lists this long non-coding RNA (868 nucleotides) under Ananas comosus (pineapple). RNAcentral describes it as "long non-coding RNA (ACOM_LNC043128)". The record is from RNAcentral. Lineage: Eukaryota; Viridiplantae; Streptophyta; Magnoliopsida; Poales; Bromeliaceae.